RNAcentral lists this ribosomal RNA (431 nucleotides) under uncultured bacterium. RNAcentral describes it as "partial 16S ribosomal RNA". It matches the Rfam family "Bacterial small subunit ribosomal RNA", at positions 29 to 507 of the family's 1533-position model. The record is from RNAcentral.
AACGAACGCUGGCGGCAGGCUUAACACAUGCAAGUCGAACGCCCCGCAAGGGUAGUGGCAGACGGGUGAGUAACGCGUGGGAACAUACCCUUUCCUGCGGAAUAGCUCCGGGAAACUGGAAUUAAUACCGCAUACGCCCUACGGGGGAAAGAUUUAUCGGGGAAGGAUUGGCCCGCGUUUGAUUAGCUAGUUGGUGGGGUAAAGGCCUACCAAGGCGACGAUCCAUAGCUGGUCUGAGAGGAUGAUCAGCCACAUUGGGACUGAGACACGGCCCAAACUCCUACGGGAGGCAGCAGUGGGGAAUAUUGGACAAUGGGCGCAAGCCUGAUCCAGCCAUGCCGCGUGAGUGAUGAAGGACUUAGGGUUGUAAAGCUCUUUCACCGAUGAAGAUAAUGACGGUAGUCGGAGAAGAAGCCCCGGCUAACUUCGUG